CAGCCGCCGCGGUAAUACCGGCGGCCCGAGUGGCGGCCACUAUUAUUGGGCCUAAAGCGUCCGUAGCCGGGCUGGUAAGUCCUCCGGGAAAUCUGGUCGCUUAGCGAUCAGACUUCCGGAGGAUACUGCUGGCCUAGGGACCGGGAGAGGCCGAGGGUAUUCCCGGGGUAGGGGUGAAAUCCUGUAAUCCCGGGAGGACCACCUGUGGCGAAGGCGCUCGGCUGGAACGGGUCCGACGGUGAGGGACGAAGGCCAGGGGAGCGAACCGGAUUAGAUACCCGGGUAGUCCUGGCGGUAAACGAUGCGGACUAGGUGUCGGGCAAGCUAAGGGCUUGUCCGGUGCCGCAGGGAAGCCGUUAAGUCCGCCGCCUGGGGAGUACGGCCGCAAGGCUGAAACUUAAAGGAAUUGGCGGG
RNAcentral lists this ribosomal RNA (414 nucleotides) under uncultured microorganism. RNAcentral's name for it is "bacterial SSU rRNA". It matches the Rfam family "Archaeal small subunit ribosomal RNA", at positions 459 to 872 of the family's 1478-position model. The record is from RNAcentral.